Molecule: unclassified non-coding RNA, 534 nt
Filed under: Fusarium falciforme
Lineage: Eukaryota; Fungi; Ascomycota; Sordariomycetes; Hypocreales; Nectriaceae
Description: sequence contains 18S rRNA gene, ITS1, 5.8S rRNA gene, ITS2, 28S rRNA gene
Rfam family: 5.8S ribosomal RNA (bases 160-313)
Source: RNAcentral
GAUCAUUACCGAGUUAUACAACUCAUCAACCCUGUGAACAUACCUAAAACGUUGCCUCGGCGGGAACAGACGGCCCCGUAACACGGGCCGCCCCCGCCAGAGGACCCCCUAACUCUGUUUCUAUAAUGUUUCUUCUGAGUAAACAAGCAAAUAAAUUAAAACUUUCAACAACGGAUCUCUUGGCUCUGGCAUCGAUGAAGAACGCAGCGAAAUGCGAUAAGUAAUGUGAAUUGCAGAAUUCAGUGAAUCAUCGAAUCUUUGAACGCACAUUGCGCCCGCCAGUAUUCUGGCGGGCAUGCCUGUUCGAGCGUCAUUACAACCCUCAGGCCCCCGGGCCUGGCGUUGGGGAUCGGCGGAAGCCCCCUGCGGGCACAACGCCGUCCCCCAAAUACAGUGGCGGUCCCGCCGCAGCUUCCAUUGCGUAGUAGCUAACACCUCGCAACUGGAGAGCGGCGCGGCCACGCCGUAAAACACCCAACUUCUGAAUGUUGACCUCGAAUCAGGUAGGAAUACCCGCUGAACCUAAGCAUAUCU